This 24-nucleotide ribosomal RNA is filed under the name Symbiodinium sp. RNAcentral's name for it is "partial 24S large subunit ribosomal RNA". RNAcentral also lists the same sequence under 9 other names. The record is from RNAcentral. Lineage: Eukaryota; Dinophyceae; Suessiales; Symbiodiniaceae.
CCUAGCAUGAAGUCAGACAAGUGA